RNAcentral lists this long non-coding RNA (288 nucleotides) under Brachypodium distachyon (stiff brome). Its description in RNAcentral is "long non-coding RNA (BDIS_LNC000507)". The record is from RNAcentral. Lineage: Eukaryota; Viridiplantae; Streptophyta; Magnoliopsida; Poales; Poaceae.
CUGAGAUCGAUCACAUAACAGUUUGACCAAAGAUCAGUUUUGAAGAUGCUUCAUCCUGCUUCAAACACGGGUAGAAGUUACCAAUCCAAAUCAUGGGCAUUACAUGAGAUCCCUUCGGGACAGGUAGCAAAUUAAGCAAGCAUAUAAGCGUUUUUCACUCGCUAGGUAUAUAGGUAGUAAUUAAGGUUUAUAAGCAGCAGCUGCAGGAGGAGCCAUCGCCCAUGAUGCUAAUAAGCUCCCGGCCAGCGCGUUAGGAGUAGUUGUUCUUCUCGGCUAGUGACGGGCGAC